GGAUAGCUCGGUUGGUAGAGUAUGAGACUCUCAAUCUCAGGGUUGUGGGUUUGAGUCCUAUGUUGGGCA
RNAcentral lists this transfer RNA (69 nucleotides) under Podarcis lilfordi (Lilford's wall lizard). Its description in RNAcentral is "tRNA.Glu". The stretch from base 4 to 61 matches the Rfam family "tRNA", at positions 8 to 63 of the family's 71-position model. Rfam says of the family: Transfer RNA (tRNA) molecules are approximately 80 nucleotides in length. The record is from RNAcentral. Lineage: Eukaryota; Metazoa; Chordata; Lepidosauria; Squamata; Lacertidae.